Long non-coding RNA from Macaca mulatta (Rhesus monkey), 3965 nucleotides. RefSeq lists it as uncharacterized. Lineage: Eukaryota; Metazoa; Chordata; Mammalia; Primates; Cercopithecidae. The record is from RefSeq and is a predicted model, not a curated record.
CCUGGGCAACGUAGUGAGAUCUUAUCUCUAUAAAAAAUAAAAAAAGAAGAAACAUGAGAGCUUGCUGCUUCUGCUUUCCACCAUGUGAAUAUGCAGUGAGAAGAUGGCUAUCUGAAAGACAGGAAGUGAGCUCUCCCCAGACACUGGAUUUACUGGAAGCUUGAUAUUGGACUUCUCAGCCUCCAGAAAUGUAAUAAAUAAAUGUUUGUCAUUUAAGCCACCGAAUCUACAGAAAUUUGUUAUAACAACCCAAACUGACUAAGAUGGUCACCGAGCCUGGGAUUUGCUCAUACCUGAAAUUCAUCUUUGAUUUGGCUGGAGUUCGUCUGGGGGUCCAGCCUGCUGAUAUUGUAGUAGAGAGAACGGAACUCACACACAGGGAUGGCAGUGUUGCCACAGAGGCACGCUUCCAGGAUGGCGUCGUGCACAAACACAUAUUGCUCCUGCAAAGUCAGAAGAGAGGGAAUGGGGUGCCAGGUAAGAACAGUGCCCUGGGAAUUUGUGGUCCACAUUUAGUAUUGUGGCUAUGAAGGAUAGACACUUGUCAAUAUAUUGUAGAAUCCUUACUUUCUAUACUGUAACCCAAAGGACCAACUUUCCACGUUUCCUAAUGAUCACCUGAACUAUGGUGGGUCUUGUUUCUUACAGAAGAUGUAAUAGCAUAGUCACUGAUAAAAUGAGAAACUUCUAGACAUGCUGUAGCAGGUGCUCUUUGUGUCCAGCCCAUGUCCCUUCAGCUUUCACCUUUACCUAAGGAAGGCUGCUUGCUGCAAACACCUGUGAUUCUCUGCUGAAGGCAGAGAGGAUACUUGGGCUGUACGGAAAGUAACCCUCAAGCAGAGACAGAUAGAGAGUUGAGGACGGAAAUCUAAGUUCCUUCUCCCUUUAGGUGGAAUCACUUGGACACGCAUGUGUCUCAGAGUUCCCAGCAGAAUUGGGUUCCAGUUGUCUACAGUGUUGAACAGCUUGUUAAAGUAGCCUUUGUUUCCUUCCCUGCUCUGCCUCACUUUCCCAUUCACCAGCCAGUGUGUCUUGGGAUUACCUUCCAAGCAAAUUAUUUGCCCGCAAAUCUUUGUCUCACAAUCUGCUCCUAAAACAUGUGUCAUGUCUUCUCCUAUCUCAAUUAUUUAUACCUGCUGUUCUCUCCUCCUGAAACUCCACUCCCUCUUUUCCAUACCUUUAAUGUUUCAUUCUUUCUGGAAGACCAUCUGUUAAUCCACCAGGCAGAAGUUGGUGUCACUUCUAGGCCCUAGAUAAAUGUUUGUUGAGUGACCUUUUCUGCAGAACUUGGUCAGUUUCUCUAUAAAGUGUGCUUUUCCAGAUGCAACAUGAUGCAUCUGCAUUUGAAUAUGUCUGUCUCCUCAUCUGUCUGACUGCAACUGGAAAGCCUGCCUUCUGCAUGCAUGAACCUGGGAAUGGAUAAAGCAGCCCUCUUGGCUUUAGUGCUAGAAGCCUGAAGACUGGCCUGUGUGAGUUAGCUCAGAGCCUAUGUGUGUAAACCAAUCAGUGGUGGUAUUCACUGCAGAGUCAGAGGGGCUGGCUGUACCAAAGCCAUGGGUCACUUCCCUUUGCAGGAUUGAUGAUGUACACAGUUCCUUAUCUGUCCCAGCUCUGACUGCCCAAGCACCCAGAGCCUUCACUAGAACAGAAGAUGGGCUCAUUACGGGAAUGAUAAGCCAAGGCACAGAGUGGGAUAGGCAGAAAAGGCUGCUUAGUCAGAGUGUGGUUCUGGCAAAAAAGCAGAGGCCUUUGGGGUCACAUGGACCCAAGUUCUCCCACAGUCUGGUAUGUGAGGUCUUAGGGACACAAUUUCUUAGUUUCUUCUUCAUUGAUAAAUUGGAGAUAAUACUAGGAGCUACACCACAGCUGUUUUGGAGGAGUAGAAACACUACCGCGACUAGAAAGAAUGUAUGCUGCCUGGCUCACAGUAGGUACACAACAAUAAAGAUUAAUUCCUUUCAGUACUCUUAGGUCUGGGCUCUCUAACUGCACAGAGAAGUGCUGAAGGUCUGCUUCUCCCUUGAGGGCAGGGGCUAUGUAUUACAUCUCUUGAAAUCCCCAGCACCCAGCCUAAGUACUCAGUUACUUUGUUGAUUAAACCAUUCCCUGCAGUGACUGAACCAUCGCUUGGCACGUAGUGGUCACUGAAUAAAUGCCAGUCCUUCUCUUUCUCUAUCACUUCACCCAAGGCAAGAAUGCUAUUCAAAUAAUCCCCGAAAUUUGUCACUCUGUCCUUGCUUGGAUGGCCUCAGAGAUGGAGAACUCACCACCAUUCUUCAUUGGUGGAACUCCCUGCACUGUUAGACCUCCAGGGUUGGCUGGGGCACCCUAGCUUCCACAGUAGUCUCUCCAUAGUAAGCCAUGAGUCUACUCCCUCCCGCUUCUCUCACACCCUUUCCACAGGUUGCCCCUACCUAUGGGUCUCUCAGUUCUAUCAUGUUUCUCCUUGGUCAGGGCUACAGGUGGCCAACGGUCUUGGUCCCUUAGGACUCACCUCUGUCUGUACCAGGUUGACCCUCUGGGCCCGGAGCUCACGCACGCAGUUGAAGAUGUCCACCACCCCUUCAUUCUCGGCCAUGUCAAGCAUGGUGUCAAUGGCAAUGAAGCAGCCAGUCCGCCCAGCCCCAGCACUGGAAGAGAGCAAAUGGGUUGAUGGAUGGAAGCAAAGAAGGAGAGGAGAGAGAACAGAGGGGAGGUGAAUGACAGGACAGAAACUCGAGUUCUCCGAGCUGCGCCCAAGAUGGAGAGUGGAUGGUGGAGCACAAUGUUCAAAGACCAGCAUCUGGCUCCAUCUGCGGCUGUUUUCCCAGGAUCAUGAAGCAAGAGCAUCAUGAAACUGGAGCAGCUGACGGUCUGGAGACCCUUGUCAGGGAUCAAGUUUCCGAAGCAAGAGCCUUAUGAAACUGGAGCAACUGACCGUCUGGAGACCCUUGUCAGGAAUCAAAUUUCCUAAUACAUACUUGAUUUCUGGUCACUAGUGGCUUCUUUAGGAGAAUCUUAGACCAAGUACAAAAUAGCAGAGGAACUCAAUGAGACUCUAUGGGCCUUGGCCAGCCCUUUCUAGAUGAGUGCUGGGCUCUGAAACAUCAGUGCCGACCAAGAGGCACAUAAGACAUGUGCCUCACACAUGUGCAGUUUUGGAUGGGAAGGCUGGGCAGCCUGUCAAGGAGGCCCCCUUCCACUGCGUUUUCACAUCUUGCAUUUCUCAUGGAAACAAGCGUCUUUGUCUAACAAUGUGGAUGUCAAAAGAAACACAAAGAGGAAGAGAGAUGGAACAAAACAAAAAAGCAAUAUUGGCUGAUUAUAAAUCCAAGGAGCACAGGCUAGCGCGGACCACUACCUACAACAAUUUGGAAAGUACACCCAUCGGAAGCAGAGUCUUCAUUCAUGAGAAAAUUUCAUAGUUUAAGUUUGCUUCAGAACCUACUCCCCAAAAUCCAGAUGCGAGGACUCAAGAGACUCGGCGUCUGUAUCUGGGAGGGAGUAUAGGGGGUCACUCGUGUUUUUUCUUCAAUGUUCAUAUUCAGCAUGCUUUAGUAUAAAGAACCAGCCCAGUUUGGUUCUGAAUUUUGGAACUAUCAGUGGUGACCAAGUUGCCUAGUGUCCGUUAGCUUCAGACUUCUGAUGCAUUUAACAUACCUCCCUGCAGGGUCCUUGUGAAGACAGAGCUGUGUUUAUUUCAGCAUCACAUAGUAAUCAAACACAGGGUCUUUGAAGAGACCCCUAGAAUUAAAUCCUGGCUCUAUUACUUACUAGCUGUGUGACCUUGGGCAAAUGACUUAACCUCUCUGGGUUUCAAUACUCAUCUAUAAAAUGAUGUUAAUAAUUAAUAGAUCUACCUCACAGCAUUAAUAGCCUAAUAUGUAUAAAUUGCAUGGAAUUACAAUUAAAAUGCAUAAUGUAUACACAUUGCUUUGUGCCUGGAUACAUAAUAAUUUCUCAAUAAAAGUCUUAGUAGACUCUCA